GUGCCAGCAGCCGCGGUAAUACGGAAGAUGCGAGCGUUAUCCGGAUUUAUUGGGUUUAAAGGGAGCGUAGGCGGGAGUUUAAGUCUGCGGUAAAAUGGCCGGGCUCAACCCGGUCCCGCCGUGGAAACUGGAUUUCUUGAAUGUGCACAAGGAAGGUGGAAUUCGUGGUGUAGCGGUGAAAUGCUUAGAUAUCACGAAGAACUCCGGUUGCGAAGGCAUCCUUCUGGGGCAUGAUUGACGCUGAGGCUCGAAAGCGCGGGUAUCAAACAGGAUUAGAUACCCUGGUAGUCCGCGCCGUAAACGAUGAAUACCCGCCGUUGGCGACAUACGGUCAGCGGCCAAGCGAAAGCAUUAAGUAUUCCACCUGGGGAGUACGCCGGCAACGGUGAAACUCAAAGGAAUUGACGGGGGCCCGCACAAGCGGAGGAACAUGUGGUUUAAUUCGAUGAUACGCGAGGAACCUUACCCGGGCUUGAACUGCACAGGACGGAAGAGAGAGACCUCUUCCUUCUUCGGACCUGUGUGGAGGUGCUGCAUGGUUGUCGUCAGCUCGUGCCGUGAGGUGUCGGCUUAAGUGCCAUAACGAGCGCAACCCCUGCCGUCAGUUGCCAUCAGGUGAUGCUGGGCACUCUGUCGGGACUGCCAUCGCAAGAUGUGAGGAAGGUGGGGAUGACGUCAAAUCAGCACGGCCCUUACGUCCGGGGCUACACACGUGUUACAAUGGGGGGCACAGAGAGUUGCUUGCCGGCGACGGUUGGCGGAUCUUCCAAAUCCCCUCUCAGUUCGGAUCGGAGUCUGCAACCCGACUCCGUGAAGCUGGAUUCGCUAGUAAUCGCGCAUCAGCCAUGGCGCGGUGAAUACGUUUCCCGGGCCUUGUACACACCGCCCGU
RNAcentral lists this ribosomal RNA (890 nucleotides) under uncultured bacterium. RNAcentral's name for it is "bacterial SSU rRNA". It matches the Rfam family "Bacterial small subunit ribosomal RNA", at positions 505 to 1397 of the family's 1533-position model. The record is from RNAcentral.